This 694-nucleotide ribosomal RNA is filed under the name Arthrobacter sp. RNAcentral describes it as "bacterial SSU rRNA". It matches the Rfam family "Bacterial small subunit ribosomal RNA", at positions 56 to 762 of the family's 1533-position model. The record is from RNAcentral. Lineage: Bacteria; Bacillati; Actinomycetota; Actinomycetes; Micrococcales; Micrococcaceae.
UGCAAGUCGACGAUGAUCCGGUGCUUGCACCGGGGAUUAGUGGCGAACGGGUGAGUAACACGUGAGUAACCUGCCCUUAACUCUGGGAUAAGCCUGGGAAACUGGGUCUAAUACCGGAUAUGACUCCUCAUCGCAUGGUGGGGGGUGGAAAGCUUUAUUGUGGUUUUGGAUGGACUCGCGGCCUAUCAGCUUGUUGGUGAGGUAAUGGCUUACCAAGGCGACAACGGGUAGCCGGCCUGAGAGGGUGACCGGCCACACUGGGACUGAGACACGGCCCAAACUCCUACGGGAGGCAGCAGUGGGGAAUAUUGCACAAUGGGCGCAAGCCUGAUGCAGCGACGCCGCGUGAGGGAUGACGGCCUUCGGGUUGUAAACCUCUUUCAGUAGGGAAGAAGCGAAAGUGACGGUACCUGCAAAAAAAGCGCCGGCUAACUACGUGCCAGCAGCCGCGGUAAUACGUAGGGCGCAAGCGUUAUCCGGAAUUAUUGGGCGUAAAGAGCUCGUAGGCGGUUUGUCGCGUCUGCCGUGAAAGUCCGGGGCUCAACUCCGGAUCUGCGGUGGGUACGGGCAGACUAGAGUGAUGUAGGGGAGACUGGAAUUCCUGGUGUAGCGGUGAAAUGCGCAAAUAUCAGGAGGAACACCGAUGGCGAAGGCAGGUCUCUGGGCAUUAACUGACGCUGAGGAGCGAAAGCAU